UACGUAGGGCGCAAGCGUUGUCCGGAAUUAUUGGGCGUAAAGAGCUCGUAGGCGGCCUGUUACGUCUGCUGUGAAAUCCCGGGGCUUAACCCCGGGCGUGCAGUGGAUACGGGCAGGCUGGAGGCAGGCAGGGGAGAACGGAAUUCCCGGUGUAGCGGUGAAAUGCGCAGAUAUCGGGAGGAACACCGGUGGCGAAGGCGGUUCUCUGGGCCUGUACUGACGCUGAGGAGCGAAAGCGUGGGGAGCGAACAGA
RNAcentral lists this ribosomal RNA (253 nucleotides) under uncultured bacterium. RNAcentral describes it as "partial 16S ribosomal RNA". It matches the Rfam family "Bacterial small subunit ribosomal RNA", at positions 524 to 776 of the family's 1533-position model. The record is from RNAcentral.